UUUAUAAAAUUAACAUUAAAGCUUGUAUAACUAAUUUAGAUUUGCAUUUACGUCGAUUAAUAUUCAAGUAAACAUUAAUUACUGUUCUUGUAUUCUUAGACGCAAAAUCGUCUUAUGGGGGCCGUGGACCUAAGGGGGCCCUAGGCGGUCGCCUAGUCUGCCUAGUUCCAGGGCCGGCCCUGUCAACGAAAAUAUAUCUCUGCCUUUUGAUUUCGUUCGAACGUCUCACGUUCGUUCUCACGCAAUGAUUAAUGGUACUCUUGAACAUGAAACGUUGCGCAUCGAUUAAAUCCAACAAACAAAGAAUUUAUCCGAGGUGAAGUCAAUUGAAAAGGAAAAAAGGAAGAAAAGGAAAAGUACGUUGACUCGACGAUUGCUUCUCUGUUGCGCGAAACGCAAAAUCAGGAAGAGGAACUACACGAAAGCUGAUCUCAUACAUCAUUCCUUUUAUCACCGAACCAUAAAGGUGGUAUCCUUAAAUCAUCGCUGGGAGAAUACCAUAAAUCAUCGAACCGAUGAGAACCGAUAAAUCAAACCCACCAGCUUUGCAAACGUACCAUUUAAUGUAACAACAUUAACGCGAUUUUCAUGACUCCUAUACAAGCUGCAAGUGACCAAUUCUGAAGCUCUGAUCAUCGCAUGAUUGAUAAUAUGAAAAGUCACGUAUUGAAAUGACGAGUAAGAUUAGCCAGCCGUUUUCUUUUCGAUUCUUGCCCGAGAUAAUGGCUCUGGCGAAGGAGAAAAGAAUAUAGAAAAAGGACGAGAAUUGGCACAGGUGCAGUGUACACGUAGAUGCGUGGACCAUGACCUGGGCGGAGUCAUUUCGCGGCCUUCGGCGGGGCGGCAUGAAGAAACCACGAAGAGAAGAUGCGACUACGAACGGCGAGUGCAAAGAUCUCUCAAGGUCGUCACUGUACCCCUCGUCCUUGUCUUGUUUAAUGAGACUCCAUAGAAACGUCUACAUGGGGUGCUCAAAAAGUUCGAAGAAUUAUCUUCUUCGUACCUUAAGAUUCAAAAAACUUUUGCAUGAGACGCCUUAAAAUCAUUUUGCGGAGAAUAGAAAUUUGAUAUACAGUGGUACCAACACGUCUGCUUUGGAAUACGUCCUGUUUGGACGUGACAAAUUUUGCUCGGUAUACGACAUAAAUUUUUUCUGUGAAUUUUGCGUCAUUUUUAGAUAAUUAUCUCAGAGGAAAAAUUAAAUUAAUAAUCAAUUAUAUUCGGAGUUGAUGUAUCAUUAAUUGACUGAUCAUACAAGUAAGAUAAAGUGAAAGUAUGUUGGCAUAGACUGGCCGAUAAAAUUGUAAGUUCAGAAGAAAGUUUUACAAAAUUAUAUUAUAAGCAAUGUGAUACUUGUAUUGAAUUGUAAUUCAAGUGGCGCCUGGAAAGAUAUCGUGUUUGUAAGUGUACGUGUUCCCUCUUUACCCAUUGCCAGGCUGAUCUUCAACAAAGAAGAAAAGUAAACGGAGAGUGAACAAAAAGUAGACCGACCGAGAGCUCGCAUUUUUCUGUCGAGAUACUCGCUCGAAAUUCCAUUACAGUCACGGUAUAAAUAUAGACUCGUUGAUUUAGCGGGUACUUGUUAAAAGUAGCAAAUUCACUUUUGUUUUAUUUAUUUUUUAAUAGAUGAUAUUCGUUUUCAUUCAACUUGAAUUUUACCACCUUACGUCGGUGGGAUGGAUUAAAAUGUUAAUCGAAGAUUCAAGGAUAUAAUUUAUAAAUUAUUGACACGUACAAAAUUCGAGGAUUUUCUUUUUAUACGGACAGAAAAAUUAAUUAAGCGUUCAGGUCACGGUACGGUGUUAAAUAAUGCCUGGAUUCAUUAUGAAAUCGGUUGGUCUCGUGAAUGAGUUAAGGAGCAGUUAGUAUGCGAUCGAGGAUCUUUCCUGCACGAGCUUAGGAUCCACGGAAGGAAGCAUAAAUCCUUCGAGCUCGUUAUUUGAUUAUGAAUUAACAUUAAUUAACAACGAUGUGGAUCUUAUGAAGACGUUUAAUCUCGAUCAAGUUAAAAGAAUUGCUUCGUUUAUUGUUUCUUUUUUUUUAAACUGCAGGUAAUAAAUUAUUUAUUAAUUGCA
This is a long non-coding RNA of Osmia lignaria (orchard mason bee), 2075 nucleotides long. RefSeq lists it as uncharacterized. The record is from RefSeq and is a predicted model, not a curated record. Lineage: Eukaryota; Metazoa; Arthropoda; Insecta; Hymenoptera; Megachilidae.